RNAcentral lists this ribosomal RNA (868 nucleotides) under uncultured marine bacterium. RNAcentral describes it as "bacterial SSU rRNA". It matches the Rfam family "Bacterial small subunit ribosomal RNA", at positions 110 to 992 of the family's 1533-position model. The record is from RNAcentral.
GUAACGCGUGAGCAAUCUACCUUAGUUACAGGGAUAGUCCGAGGAAACUCGGAUUAAUACCUGAUAUUCUUUAUUUCUCGCAUGAGAAUAAAAGGAAAGGUCAGCCGAACUAAGAUGAGCUCGCGUUCUAUCAGCUAGUUGGUGAGGUAAAAGCUUACCAAGGCUACGACGGAUAGCUGGUCUGAGAGGACGAUCAGCCACACUGGGACUGAGACACGGCCCAGACUCCUACGGGAGGCUGCAGCAGGGAAUAUUGUGCAAUGAACGAAAGUUUGACACAGCGACACCGCGUGUGGGAUGACGGAUCUAGGUUUGUAAACCACUUUCAGGAGGGAAGAAAAUGACGGUACCUCCACAAGAAGCCCCGGCCAACUACGUGCCAGCAGCCGCGGUAAUACGUAGGGGGCGAGCGUUGUCCGGAUUUAUUGGGCGUAAAGAGCUCGUAGGCGGUUCAACAAGUCGGUCGUGAAAGUUCAGGGCUCAACCCUGAAAUGUCGAUCGAUACUGUUGUGACUAGGAUACGGUAGAGGUGAGUGGAAUUCCGAGUGUAGCGGUGAAAUGCGUAGAUAUUCGGAGGAACACCAAUUGCGAAGGCAGCUCACUGGACCGCUAUCGACGCUGAGGAGCGAAAGCUAGGGGAGCAAACAGGAUUAGAUACCCUGGUAGUCCUAGCUGUAAACGAUGGAUACUAGACGUAGGAACUGGAUUGACGGUUUCUGUGUCGUAGCUAACGCGUUAAGUAUCCCGCCUGGGGAGUACGGUCGCAAGACUAAAACUCAAAGGAAUUGACGGGGACCCGCACAAGCGGCGGAGCAUGCGGCUUAAUUCGAUGAUACCCGUAGAACCUUACCCUGGACUGACAUAUAGG